This 246-nucleotide ribosomal RNA is filed under the name uncultured Actinomycetes bacterium. RNAcentral's name for it is "uncultured actinobacterium partial 16S ribosomal RNA". It matches the Rfam family "Bacterial small subunit ribosomal RNA", at positions 28 to 276 of the family's 1533-position model. The record is from RNAcentral. Lineage: Bacteria; Bacillati; Actinomycetota; Actinomycetes.
GACGAACGCUGGCGGCGUGCUUAACACAUGCAAGUCGAGCGGUAAGGCCCUUUCGGGGGUACACGAGCGGCGAACGGGUGAGUAACACGUGGGUGACCUGCCCUCAGCUCUGGGAUAAGCCUGGGAAAUCGGGUCUAAUACCGGAUAUGACUCCAUGACGCAUGUUGUGGGGUGGAAAGCCUUGUGCGGCUGGGGAUGGGCCCGCGGCCUAUCAGCUUGUUGGUGGGUGAUGGCCUACCAAGGCGA